This is a long non-coding RNA of Marmota monax (woodchuck), 2388 nucleotides long. RefSeq lists it as uncharacterized. Lineage: Eukaryota; Metazoa; Chordata; Mammalia; Rodentia; Sciuridae. The record is from RefSeq and is a predicted model, not a curated record. The transcript has 6 exons.
CGCCUGCGCAAUCUGCACGCACGCCUGCGCACUGCGCCUCUGAAGCCGCUGCCUCUGCCCUCACUUCAACGGCUGCCAGUUCCUGGGCGCUGCGGGGUCGUGGGUGGGGGAUACCACGCUGGCUCGAUGACUUUCCUGGUGUUACCUAACACAUUCCAGUGUAGUUAUGAAGGGCACCUUUGACCCUCUGACGGGCUCACUAAACUCCUGAGGAAACUGACCAAACUUGAGAUCAUCCUGCCUCAGCCUCCUGAGUAGCUGAGAUUACAGAUAAUUACCAGAAACACUAAGUGGAGAGAGCAUUUCUGCAUGCCUGCUUAAAAGAAGAAGAUAAAGAAGAAAUAAAGAAUAAGGAUUGUGCUUGAAAAGAAAAAGCAAAAGAAAAUAAAAAUGUGACCCACUCAAUAUCAAAGAGGGCAAGUCACUUGACCUUAGUUUCCUCAUCUGAAAACACAAGAGCCUGGGAGUUGUGCUUGAUUACGUGACUAAUAUCCAGCCACAGGAAUUGAAUGAAGAAUGGAAUUUCAUUUUUGGCUUCAUCACUAUUGCGGCAAUGACAGAUGGGGAUCACAUGAAUUAGAUAGGGUCUGCCUAAAUUGCCCAGGCUUGUCUCAAACAUGCAAUCCUCCUGCCUCAACCUCCCAGUAGCUGGGAUUACAGGAAUGCUCCACCAUGACUGCCCAACUCUUUUGACACCUCGUAAAGGAUCAGCUAAUUGUGGGGUUUUGUGGUAAGUUUAUGCAAUACUUAAUAUGUGGAGUGAUAUCUUUAAUAAAAGAUGUAUGAAGGAAAGAAUGUGGCAACUAAAAGGAACUCCCUCUCGUAACCCCUCUUUAUCUCCUGGUAUUGACUUUUAUUAACAUUACACUGGUAAAAUGGGUAACAAAACCUUUGUAUCUCUUCCUUUUAAAUUUGAAAUUCCAAGGAUACCCAAUCUAUAUGCCCAACUUAGGUAAGAUAUCUACCUUUUGGGUAUUCAGGUUUAGAGUAGAAAGUUCAGAGUCGAUAUGGCCAUUAAGUACCCACUUUUUCUUAUUAACAUGCCAUUCCCAGAUAAGGAGAAAAUUACUAUGAAUCAAGAAAUCUCCCCACAUUGGUGAGUUCCAAAGGCAUAUUACUAAGUGGUAGCAAUCCUUUCUCAUAUAGGCAAAAGAUAACAAACUCACUUUCUUCAUUUUAUGCUUGAAAGAGCAUUCUCUACCAUAUAUUACCAGUCAAACACUUUUUUGUCUUAACCUCUUACCCUUCAUGAAGAAAAUCAGAGUUUGGAAACGCAGAGUUGGAACGUUAUGUGUUUUGAAAAUUCCUUCCUUUGAAUAACUUUCGGGGAGGAUUUCACUACCAACAUAACCACUUUCUUUUACCAACCUCCCUUAGCAUCUACCUUUUGUGAAAUUUGAACUUCUUAAAAAUAACAAAAACAAGCAGUUUAAGCUUAUUUAGUGUUAGGAAAGUCAGAAGGAAAGAGAAUUUCAAGGAUGGGUAGUCAAACCUGUUAAAAUCAUGCACAGGGGAUGAAGUAGAAAAAAAGGCCAUUGUAUCUUGUGAUUAUCAUUUGUGACAUUCAGAAAUGCAGUUUCAUUUGUGUAGGGGCACAGGGUCAAAACACAUUGAGCUAAAGAGCAAGUGAGGCUGAGAAAGGAAAUGGAGGAAGGAAGUAUAUACUGCACUUCAGAAUCUGAGAUUGAAAUGAAGGGAAGUGGAUUGUUUCCAAGACCCUUGAAGUAUAACCUCUCCAUCAUGCCUCACGACUUCUGGUGGUAUAUAUAGACCUGGAAAUCCUCUUUUAUUUACUGGGUCCAAACAUGCAUGGCUUAUAAAGAGAGAUAAGAAACAUGGUUAGAUUUUGUCUAGCAUUUCCUCGCGUCCAGGCCCUAGCCGAUUUGAAGGGUACCCUGGAACACCUUAACUUUUACCACUCAUUGCUUUUCUUUUUUGUCCUUCUUCACAUCUCCACACCCUCAAAGGACCAAGAUUUAUUAGUUUAUCUUGUAGUCAAGGCAACAAAUACUAUGAAUGUGAGGUUUCAUCCUGUCCUUAGUUUGGAACAGUGUAGAGCACCUUUUGAGUGCAACAUCUAAGAGACAAAUAUUGUUCUAUUAAUAUUUAUUACCCUAAAGGAGUGAAGAAAAUAGAACAGGAAAUGUAUAUUCUCCCAUGGGUAUAUUUAUAGCAACAUGAAAGCUUUCAGUGGAAACACAGUGAUGAAAGAUGGAAGCACCAUUAUUUAUCAAACUGAUCUGAAGCUUACCUACAUCAUAGCCACCUAGGGUGCUUAUCUGUGUACACAAAUUUUUCAGGCAAAAAAACAAAACAACAACAACAAAACAAAAAAAAAAAAGGAAUUUUAUCCUUGGAAAGAAAAAGGAAUAUAUUUGCCUCAGAGAU